CCCCUGAUCGCGGCGGGGUAAUGCUGCGGUAUUCUCCCUGUUGGACUUGGCCCGAGCUUUAUGCUCGGGUCUUUUUU
RNAcentral lists this non-coding RNA (77 nucleotides) under Litoreibacter arenae DSM 19593. RNAcentral describes it as "Singlet oxygen resistance RNA X". It matches the Rfam family "Singlet oxygen resistance RNA X". Rfam says of the family: SorX (RSs2461)like SorY is a singlet oxygen induced sRNA that counteracts oxidative stress by targeting mRNA for a transporter in Rhodobacter. The record is from Rfam by way of RNAcentral. Lineage: Bacteria; Pseudomonadati; Pseudomonadota; Alphaproteobacteria; Rhodobacterales; Roseobacteraceae.